CGAUUCCUACGGGAGGCAGCAGUGGGGAAUAUUGCACAAUGGGCGCAAGCCUGAUGCAGCCAUGCCGCGUGUAUGAAGAAGGCCUUCGGGUUGUAAAGUACUUUCAGCGAGGAGGAAGGCGUUAAGGUUAAUAACCUUGGCGAUUGACGUUACUCGCAGAAGAAGCACCGGCUAACUCCGUGCCAGCAGCCGCGGUAAUACGGAGGGUGCAAGCGUUAAUCGGAAUUACUGGGCGUAAAGCGCACGCAGGCGGUCUGUCAAGUCGGAUGUGAAAUCCCCGGGCUCAACCUGGGAACUGCAUUCGA
RNAcentral lists this ribosomal RNA (305 nucleotides) under uncultured bacterium. Its description in RNAcentral is "bacterial SSU rRNA". It matches the Rfam family "Bacterial small subunit ribosomal RNA", at positions 333 to 630 of the family's 1533-position model. The record is from RNAcentral.